Molecule: ribosomal RNA, 492 nt
Filed under: uncultured bacterium
Lineage: Bacteria
Description: partial 16S ribosomal RNA
Rfam family: Bacterial small subunit ribosomal RNA
Source: RNAcentral
AGUGAACGCUGGCGGUAGGCCUAACACAUGCAAGUCGAACGGCAGCACAGUAAGAGCUUGCUCUUACGGGUGGCGAGUGGCGGACGGGUGAGGAAUACAUCGGAAUCUACUUUUUCGUGGGGGAUAAUGUAGGGAAACUUACGCUAAUACCGCAUACGACCUACGGGUGAAAGCAGGGGAUCUUCGGACCUUGCGCGAUUGAAUGAGCCGAUGUCGGAUUAGCUAGUUGGCGGAGUAAAGGCCCACCAAGGCGACGAUCCGUAGCUGGUCUGAGAGGAUGAUCAGCCACACUGGAACUGAGACACGGUCCAGACUCCUACGGGAGGCGGCAGUGGGGAAUAUUGGACAAUGGGCGCAAGCCUGAUCCAGCCAUACCGCGUGGGUGAAGAAGGCCUUCGGGUUGUAAAGCCCUUUUGUUGGGAAAGAAAAGCAGCAGGUUAAUACCCCGCUGUUCUGACGGUACCCAAAGAAUAAGCACCGGCUAACUUCGUG